AUGGACAUGAGGGCUCCUGCUCAGCUCCUCGGACUCCUGCUGCUCUGGUUACCAGGUGCCAGAUGUGAUAUCCAGAUGAUCCAGUCUCCAUCCUCCCUGUCUGCAUCUCUGGGAGACAGAGUCACCAUCACUUGUCAAGCCAGUCAGGGCAUUAGCAAUUAUUUAUAUUGGUACCAACAGAAACCAGGGAAAGCUCCUAAGCUUCUGAUUUAUGGUGCAGAUGGCUUGGCAGAUGGGGUCCCAUCAAGGUUCAGUGGCAGUGGGUCUGGGACAGAUUUCACCCUCAGCAUCAACAAAGUGGAGCCUGAAGAUGUUGCAACUUAUUACUGUCAACAAAGUUACAACAGGCCUCCCACAGUAAUACAGACCAUAGCAAAAAUCCCCAGGGAAGCAGAAGUGUGAGGCUGGGCUCUUUCAGCUACUUCUGGUGGUUCCUCUACCUCUUCAAAGUGUUUUACAGAUGCAGACAGCCUUGAGAUUUACACAGAAAA
Molecule: non-coding RNA, 491 nt
Organism: Peromyscus leucopus (white-footed mouse)
Lineage: Eukaryota; Metazoa; Chordata; Mammalia; Rodentia; Cricetidae
Source: the annotation of a RefSeq genome assembly